Molecule: ribosomal RNA, 253 nt
Filed under: uncultured bacterium
Lineage: Bacteria
Description: partial 16S ribosomal RNA
Rfam family: Bacterial small subunit ribosomal RNA
Source: RNAcentral
UACGAGGGGGGCAAGCGUUGUUCGGAAUUAUUGGGCGUAAAGGGUGCGUAGGCGGCCUGAAAGGUCAGCUGUGAAAACUCGAGGCUCAACCUCGAGACGUCGGUUGAAACCAUCUGGCUAGAGUCCGGAAGAGGAGUGUGGAAUUCCCGGUGUAGCGGUGAAAUGCGCAGAUAUCGGGAAGAACACCCGUGGCGAAGGCGGCACUCUGGGACGGUACUGACGCUGAGACGCGAAAGCGUGGGGAGCGAACAGG